GUUUACGGCCAUGCCACCCUGAACAAGCCCGAUCCCGUCUGAUCUCGGAAGCUAAGCAGGGUCGGGCCUGGUUAGUACUUGGAUGGGGGACCACCUAGGAAGAUCAGGUGCUGUAGGUG
This 119-nucleotide ribosomal RNA is filed under the name Pteropus alecto (black flying fox). Lineage: Eukaryota; Metazoa; Chordata; Mammalia; Chiroptera; Pteropodidae. The record is from RNAcentral.